This 441-nucleotide ribosomal RNA is filed under the name uncultured bacterium. Its description in RNAcentral is "partial 16S ribosomal RNA". It matches the Rfam family "Bacterial small subunit ribosomal RNA", at positions 335 to 795 of the family's 1533-position model. The record is from RNAcentral.
ACUACGUGAGGCAGCAGUGGGGAAUAUUGGGCAAUGGGCGCAAGCCUGACCCAGCAACGCCGCGUGAGUGAAGAAGUAUUUCGGUAUGUAAAGCUCUAUCAGCAGGGAAGAAGAAAGACGGUACCUGACUAAGAAGCCCCGGCUAACUACGUGCCAGCAGCCGCGGUAAUACGUAGGGGGCAAGCGUUAUCCGGAUUUACUGGGUGGAAAGGGAGCGUAGACGGCUGUGCAAGUCUGAAGUGAAAGCCCAGGGCUCAACCCUGGGACUGCUUUGGAAACUGUGGAGCUAGAGUGCUGGAGAGGUAAGUGGAAUUCCUAGUGUAGCGGUGAAAUGCGUAGAUAUUAGGAGGAACACCAGUGGCGAAGGCGGCUUACUGGACUGUAACUGACGUUGAGGCUCGAAAGCGUGGGGAGCAAACAGGAUUAGAUACCCCGGUAGUC